AUAGCACUAUUCUAGUUAAGUUACAAAAUCUAGUUCUUUAAUUGUAUGUAGAUAAACAAAUCAGGCACUUUCAAAGAGGGGAAAAACGCUCAAGCUUAAUGCCUUUGCUGCAAAAUAUAAAUAACAAAAAUUACUAGCAAUAAAUACAUAUUGCUUCUAUUUGUAACCAAAAAAACAUAUUGCUUCUAUUUGCUUUUACUCGGCUAAAAACCUAAAGUAAAAAAAUGAUACUAACAAUUAAGAAUCCUUAAUUACAUUCCAUUUGCAUUUACUCCUCCAAAUUAAUAAAGAAAAUCAUUUGAACCUAUGAGAGAACGUGAAU
Molecule: long non-coding RNA, 322 nt
Filed under: Trifolium pratense (red clover)
Lineage: Eukaryota; Viridiplantae; Streptophyta; Magnoliopsida; Fabales; Fabaceae
Description: long non-coding RNA (TPRA_LNC002856)
Source: RNAcentral